AUGUCCUUCAUUCUCGGUAAGGUGGUCGUGGUGGACGAGCUCUCUCUCCGCAAGGAGGAGUUGUGUGUCAAGGUUAAAUCCCUUGACUCGUCCAAGCUCCGGGCCAAGGUCCAGGAGUUCUUCAACGACCAGGGCUUCGACCUCAGGAUCUCCCCCGAGCCGCCCAACCAUGUUGGCCGCCCGCGCAUCCCCGACGACAACUCCUUGGGGGGUGGCCCCGACGGUGGCGGCAUGGGGGCUGUUGCAGCGAUCGGGACCCCCGCCACGACCACAACUCUGUCUCGGAGGAGGACGACAAUGACUCCGAGGACAGCCCGCCCCACGACCCGCAUGUCGCCUCGUCAGCCAGGGGAGGCGUAG
This 360-nucleotide ribosomal RNA is filed under the name Triticum aestivum (bread wheat). RNAcentral describes it as "partial small subunit ribosomal RNA". Lineage: Eukaryota; Viridiplantae; Streptophyta; Magnoliopsida; Poales; Poaceae. The record is from RNAcentral.